AAAAAUUUAUACACGUCUGAGAGGGUACAGAAUAUGGAGCAAGUCAUUGACACGGUGCCAGUUAAAGUAACACCUGAGAUGAAUGAUAUACUCAAUGCUCCGUAUAGCCAAGAUGAAGUUAAAAAGGCUCUUUUCCAGAUGUUCCCUAUCAAGGCACCAGGGCCUGAUAGCUUCCCGGCUCACUUCUUCCAACGCCAUUGGGACGUGUGUGGCGCGGAUGUGACCAAGGUGGUACUCAGAAUAGUGGAUGGGACAGAAUCGGCUGACUGUAUCAAGGAGACCGUACUUGUCCUAAUCCCUAAGGUAAAAAACCCAACAUUGUUAUCAUAG
RNAcentral lists this ribosomal RNA (330 nucleotides) under Triticum aestivum (bread wheat). Its description in RNAcentral is "partial small subunit ribosomal RNA". Lineage: Eukaryota; Viridiplantae; Streptophyta; Magnoliopsida; Poales; Poaceae. The record is from RNAcentral.